AGGGGGGGGGCCAUCAGUGGGGUACGGGACCCAUAAGUGGGGUGGGGACCCAUCAGUGGGGGCUGCCCCAUAAGUAGGGGGGGACACCCAUCAGUGGGGCUGCCCCAUACGUGUGGGAGGGGGGACCCAUAAGUGGGGGGGGGGACCCAAAUGGGUCUCAAUGUCCCCAAAUGGGCCUCAAUGUCCCCAAAUGGGCCUCAAUGUCCCCAAAUCAGAUCCCACUGUCCCCAAAUGGGCCUCAGUGUCCCCAAAUGGGUCUCAAUGUCCCCAAUUCUGAUCCCAUUGACCCCAAAUGGGUCUCAAUGUCCCCAAAUCAGAUCCCACUGUCCCCAAAUGGGCCUCAAUGUCCCCCAAAUAGGGUCCCACUGUCCCCAAAUGGGUCUCAAUGUCCCCAAAUGGGCCUCAAUGUCCCCAAAUGGAUCCCACUGUCCCCAAAUGGGUCUCAAUGUCCCCAAAUGGGUCUCAAUGUCCCCAAUUCUGAUCCCACUGUCCCCAAAUGGGUCUCAAUGUCCCCAUAUGGGCCUCAAUGUCCCCAAAUGGGUCUCAAUGUCCCCAAAUGGAUCCCACUGUCCCCAAAUGGGCCUCAAUGUCCCCAAAUAGGGUCCCACUGUCCCCAAGCCUGAUCCCACUGUCCCCAAAUGCUUUCCAUCGUCCCCAAAUGGGCCUCAAUGUCCCCAAAUGGGUCUCAAUGUCCCCAAAUGGGGUCCCACUGUCCCCAAAUGGGUCUCAAUGUCCCCAAUUUUGAUCCCACUGUCCCCAAAUGGGUCUCAGCGCCCCACAGCCCCCCCCUUCCCCCCAUAACCCCCCCAUAUCCCCCCACAUCCCCCCGUCCCCUACCUGACACCGCCGCCUUUGGGACCGUCCCCAAAUGGGUCUCAAUGGCCCCAUAUCAUAUCCCAUUGUCCCCAAAUCAGAUCUCAAUGUCCCCAAAAUUGGGUCUCAACGUCCCCAAAUGGGCCUCGAUGUCCCCAAAAUUGGGUCGCAAUGUCCCCAAAUGGGCCUCCAUGUCCCCAAAUCAGAUCCCACUGUCCCCAAAUGGGCCUCAAUGUCCCCAAAUGGGCCUCAAUGUCCCCAAAUGGGCCUCAAUGUCCCCAAAUCAGAUCCCACUGUUCCCAAAUGGGUCUCAAUGUCCCCAAAUAGGGUCCCACUGUCCCCAAAUGGGCCUCAAUGUCCCCAAAUCAGAUCCCACUGUCCCCAAAUGGGUCUCAAUGUCCCCAAAUGGGUCUCAGCCCCCCCCCUUCCCCCCAUAACCCCCCCAUAUCCCCCC
This 1267-nucleotide long non-coding RNA is filed under the name Gallus gallus (chicken). RNAcentral describes it as "lncRNA (ENSGALG00010000429.1)". Lineage: Eukaryota; Metazoa; Chordata; Aves; Galliformes; Phasianidae. The record is from RNAcentral.